UCCCUAGAGGACUAGUGGUUAGGCCAAGGUGGUCUCACCGCCCCGGCCUGGCUUCGAUUCCCGGCCAGGGAA
RNAcentral lists this transfer RNA (72 nucleotides) under Pangasianodon gigas (Mekong giant catfish). RNAcentral describes it as "tRNA-Glu". The record is from RNAcentral. Lineage: Eukaryota; Metazoa; Chordata; Actinopteri; Siluriformes; Pangasiidae.